This 391-nucleotide ribosomal RNA is filed under the name uncultured Lachnospiraceae bacterium. RNAcentral's name for it is "bacterial SSU rRNA". It matches the Rfam family "Bacterial small subunit ribosomal RNA", at positions 354 to 762 of the family's 1533-position model. Lineage: Bacteria; Bacillati; Bacillota; Clostridia; Lachnospirales; Lachnospiraceae. The record is from RNAcentral.
UGGGGGAAUAUUGGACAAUGGGCGAAAGCCUGAUCCAGCGACGCCGCGUGAGCGAAGAAGUAUUUCGGUAUGUAAAGCUCUAUCAGCAGGGAAGAAAAUGGCGGUACCUGACUAAGAAGCCCCGGCUAACUACGUGCCAGCAGCCGCGGUAAUACGGAGGAUGCAAGCGUUAUCCGGAUUUAUUGGGUUUAAAGGGUGCGUAGGCGGCUUGGUAAGCCAGCGGUGAAAUUCCAGUGCUCAACAUUGGCCGUGCCGUUGAUACUGCUGGGCUUGAAUGCGGAUGCCGUGGGAGGAAUGUGUGGUGUAGCGGUGAAAUGCAUAGAUAUCACACAGAACACCGAUUGCGAAGGCAUCUCACGAAUCCGCAAUUGACGCUGAGGCACGAAAGUGU